RNAcentral lists this unclassified non-coding RNA (503 nucleotides) under Hevea brasiliensis (rubber tree). Lineage: Eukaryota; Viridiplantae; Streptophyta; Magnoliopsida; Malpighiales; Euphorbiaceae. The record is from RNAcentral.
CCCCUAUGUCUUAUGACAAACACAGCAAGAGAACCAACUAAUCCAAAAAUUGCUCCUGACGCACCCACAGCAGGUGCUUUACAAAACCAAUAGCUCGUUGCUGAACCUGAAUUUUUUGGAAGAAUUUCGUUAGAAUACUAGUGAGUAAGAAUUUUAUUUUUCUAUUGCAAUGGGUUUAUGAAUGGUUACUUGCAAUUGCAGAGGUAAAGUAAAUUGCAAGAAAUCUCCUUGGACCGCUAAGGUUCUCAACGGUAGGACCAAUAGAAUUCAAAGAAUAACUAUUAAUCAUGAGGUGCCCAAUAUUCGCAUGCAAAAGGGAAGAGGUGGCCAGCCUCCAAAGUUGUCCCUUGUCGAUGAGACUAUUAAUCUUAGCUCCCCACAAUAACAGCUUUCCCUGUGUAGCCAUUUGUGCAACAUAAACUAAGACGUUAAUAGCAAGAAGAACAUUCGUCAAUUUCCUUCCAUCAAUUGAAUUUCUUCUGGAUGUCCCAGAAUGCGACGUU